GACACGUGGGCGGCGUGCUAUACAUGCAAGUCGAACGAACUCUGGUAUUGAUUGGUGCUUGCAUCAUGAUUUACAUUUGAGUGAGUGGCGAACUGGUGAGUAACACGUGGGAAACCUGCCCAGAAGCAGGGGGAUAACACCUGGAAACAGAUGCUAAUACCGCAUAACAACUUGGACCGCAUGGUCCGAGUUUGAAAGAUGGCUUCGGCUAUCACUUUUGGAUGGUCCCGCGGCGUAUUAGCUAGAUGGUGGGGUAACGGCUCACCAUGGCAAUGAUACGUAGCCGACCUGAGAGGGUAAUCGGCCACAUUGGGACUGAGACACGGCCCAAACUCCUACGGGAGGCAGCAGUAGGGAAUCUUCCACAAUGGACGAAAGUCUGAUGGAGCAACGCCGCGUGAGUGAAGAAGGGUUUCGGCUCGUAAAACUCUGUUGUUAAAGAAGAACAUAUCUGAGAGUAACUGUUCAGGUAUUGACGGUAUUUAACCAGAAAGCCACGGCUAACUACGUGCCAGCAGCCGCGGUAAUACGUAGGUGGCAAGCGUUGUCCGGAUUUAUUGGGCGUAAAGCGAGCGCAGGCGGUUUUUUAAGUCUGAUGUGAAAGCCUUCGGCUCAACCGAAGAAGUGCAUCGGAAACUGGGAAACUUGAGUGCAGAAGAGGACAGUGGAACUCCAUGUGUAGCGGUGAAAUGCGUAGAUAUAUGGAAGAACACCAGUGGCGAAGGCGGCUGUCUGGUCUGUAACUGACGCUGAGGCUCGAAAGUAUGGGUAGCAAACAGGAUUAGAUACCCUGGUAGUCCAUACCGUAAACGAUGAAUGCUAAGUGUUGGAGGGUUUCCGCCCUUCAGUGCUGCAGCUAACGCAUUAAGCAUUCCGCCUGGGGAGUACGGCCGCAAGGCUGAAACUCAAAGGAAUUGACGGGGGCCCGCACAAGCGGUGGAGCAUGUGGUUUAAUUCGAAGCUACGCGAAGAACCUUACCAGGUCUUGACAUACUAUGCAAAUCUAAGAGAUUAGACGUUCCCUUCGGGGACAUGGAUACAGGUGGUGCAUGGUUGUCGUCAGCUCGUGUCGUGAGAUGUUGGGUUAAGUCCCGCAACGAGCGCAACCCUUAUUAUCAGUUGCCAGCAUUAAGUUGGGCACUCUGGUGAGACUGCCGGUGACAAACCGGAGGAAGGUGGGGAUGACGUCAAAUCAUCAUGCCCCUUAUGACCUGGGCUACACACGUGCUACAAUGGAUGGUACAACGAGUUGCGAACUCGCGAGAGUAAGCUAAUCUCUUAAAGCCAUUCUCAGUUCGGAUUGUAGGCUGCAACUCGCCUACAUGAAGUCGGAAUCGCUAGUAAUCGCGGAUCAGCAUGCCGCGGUGAAUACGUUCCCGGGCCUUGUACACACCGCCCGUCACACCAUGAGAGUUUGUAACACCCAAAGUCGGUGGGGUAACCUUUUAGGAACCAGCCGCCUAAGGUGGACCAGGGGAUG
RNAcentral lists this ribosomal RNA (1480 nucleotides) under Lactiplantibacillus plantarum. Its description in RNAcentral is "bacterial SSU rRNA". It matches the Rfam family "Bacterial small subunit ribosomal RNA". Lineage: Bacteria; Bacillati; Bacillota; Bacilli; Lactobacillales; Lactobacillaceae. The record is from RNAcentral.